UCCAAUUUCCUUACCUAAUGCAUGUGGAGAGGGCAUUUUGCGUGUAUCCUUGGGAACUAGUUGAACGAAUGUUCGAAUGCCCAUAUUAUAAAAGAAAAAGAAAAUAAUUUCCACUGGGAGGUGAUUGCCUAUCAGUGCCGAGUUUUUGCCUCUGUGUUUUCAUGUGAAUGUUUGGGUUCUAGUCACAAAUGUUUCAAACGGAAAUACUCCUGAUAAUGUUAUCUUAACAAUCAUAUUCACUCUUUACAAUCUAACACAACUGCUCACUAAAAGCGGAAGUGCUGUACACCUUACUUUGCAGCGUAUCGCUUGAGAGCAUGGCCUCAUAUUGGUGGAUACAAAGUAUGAACUCGGGAAGGCUGAGGACAGUUCCAUUCUUUUGAUAGAUGAGGUGCAUACUCCUGACUCAAUUAGAUAUAGGAUAGCGCAGUCUUAUGAUGAACGGUUUCAAAAUGGUCUUGAGCCUGAAAAUGUCGACAAGGAGUUCUUGAGGCUAUGGUUCAAAGAUCAUUGCAAUCCCUAGGAAGAUGAGGUACU
Syzygium oleosum is the source of this 537-nucleotide long non-coding RNA. RefSeq lists it as uncharacterized. The transcript is spliced from 3 exons. NCBI's taxonomy places the organism in Eukaryota, Viridiplantae, Streptophyta, Magnoliopsida, Myrtales, Myrtaceae. The record is from RefSeq and is a predicted model, not a curated record.